CUAUCAUGAUCACAGAAUAGAAGGCAGCUAGAUUCUGACCUCCAUUUGAUGAUGUGCAUACAUGACUGGAUGGAACAUCUGGGCGUAGCUCCAUCGUCUAUCAGCUCUGCAAGGUAAAGAUGUUAGAGGUACUAUUUGGAGCUUUAGGGCCUGUUUGUUUCCCUCUAAUUUUUUUAAUUUUUAAGUUCUUGUCACAUCGAAUGUUUAGACACUAAUUAGAAGUAUUAAAUAUAGACUAUUAAUAAAACCCACCUUAUACUCUAGACUAUUUUGCGAGACGAAUCUACUGAGUCUAAUUAGUCCAUGAUUAGCGAGCGCGAUGCUACAGUAAACAUUUGCUAAUCGUGGAUUAAUUAUGCUUAAAAAAUUUGUCUAAUGAAAUAGCCUUUAUUUAUACAAUUAGGUUUACUAUCAGUCUAUAUUUAAUACUUCUAAUUAAUGUCCAAACAUCCGAUGUGACGAGGGAUUAAAAAAGUCACGGAUCCAAACAACCACUUAGUCUUAACUACUUUUUUUUUGAGAACCUACUCUUAACUACUAACCGGACACAUAAGAACGGAUUGUGUAACCCCGUGGGUCUACUGUGGCGGAUGCAACAACACAUAGCCUGGAUUGUUCAUUUUCCAUGUAUGGUUGGGAUGCUAGGAAAUAGAGUACAUGUGUUAGAAGAUGAAGAUUCAUAUAUGAUUUACUAGAAAUCUAUUUUUUGACACAGAUUCAUAUAUAAUUAGUAAUUAUUAUGUUAUAAUAUGAUUUAUUAUUAUAGAAACUUUAAGUAUGCUUUAUAAUUUUGUAUAUUUAGAUAUAAAUUUUGAAUAAGACGAACUGUCAAACGUACAUUUAAAAGUCAAUAGUGUCAUAUAAAAAAUAUGGAGGGAGUAUUAAGAUUGCUUGCUUCCGCUUUAGAGUGACAAAAUUGUCAGUCUCACUCUAGUUUUAUCAUCUUGAUUCAGUUUGAAAUUAUUAUAAUCCAGCUUAUUAAGAGUGAGGUAAAACAAACGGAUUAUUGUGACGGAUUAUUAUAAUCUAGAUCUCAGAUUAAUAUCCGGUAAGCUUCUCUAAAAAUAUUAUUUUUAAAUUAUUGGAUGGUUAAAAACCCACUGCCCUUACAUACGCCUCCAACGUGCCAUUAACAGGAUCGUACCCCAUCCUCUCCGAGCGCGAGGUGGACCGAGU
RNAcentral lists this long non-coding RNA (1176 nucleotides) under Oryza brachyantha (malo sina). RNAcentral describes it as "long non-coding RNA (OBRA_LNC000177)". Lineage: Eukaryota; Viridiplantae; Streptophyta; Magnoliopsida; Poales; Poaceae. The record is from RNAcentral.